CGAGCCUCGACUAACCACUGCU
This 22-nucleotide microRNA is filed under the name Branchiostoma floridae (Florida lancelet). RNAcentral describes it as "Bfl-Mir-12489-P1_3p (mature (guide))". Lineage: Eukaryota; Metazoa; Chordata; Leptocardii; Amphioxiformes; Branchiostomatidae. The record is from RNAcentral.